RNAcentral lists this ribosomal RNA (396 nucleotides) under uncultured bacterium. RNAcentral describes it as "partial 16S ribosomal RNA". It matches the Rfam family "Bacterial small subunit ribosomal RNA", at positions 360 to 773 of the family's 1533-position model. The record is from RNAcentral.
AAUCUUGCACAAUGGGCGAAAGCCUGAUGCAGCGACGCCGCGUGAGGGACGAAGGCCUUCGGGUCGUAAACCUCUGUCCUUGGGGACGAUAAUGACGGUACCCAAGGAGGAAGCCCCGGCUAACUACGUGCCAGCAGCCGCGGUAAUACGUAGGGGGCAAGCGUUGUCCGGAAUCACUGGGCGUAGAGGGUGCGUAGGCGGCCUAGCAAGUCCUGUGUGAAAUGUCUCGGCUUAACCGGGAAGGGUCAUGGGAAACUGUUAGGCUUGAGUAUCGGAGAGGGUAGUGGAAUUCCCAGUGUAGCGGUGGAAUGCGUAGAUAUUGGGAGGAACACCAGUGGCGAAGGCGACUACCUGGACGAAAACUGACGCUGAGGCACGAAAGCUAGGGGAGCAAAC